AGCGAACGCUGGCGGCAGGCCUAACACAUGCAAGUCGAACGAACCUUUCGGGGUUAGUGGCGGACGGGUGAGUAACACGUGGGAACGUGCCUUUAGGUUCGGAAUAACUCAGGGAAACUUGUGCUAAUACCGAAUGUGCCCUUCGGGGGAAAGAUUAAUCGCCUUUAGAGCGGCCCGCGUCUGAUUAGCUAGUUGGUUGAGGUAAUGGCUCACCAAGGCGACGAUCAGUAGCUGGUCUGAGAGGAUGAUCAGCCACAUUGGUACUGAGACACGGCCCAAACUCCUACGGGAAGCAGCAGUGGGGAAUCUUGCGAAAUGGGCGAAAGCCUGACGCAGCCAUGCCGCGUGAAUGAUGAAGGUCUUAGGAUUGUAAAAUUCUUUCACCGGGGACGAUAAUGACGGUACCCGGAGAAGAAGCCCCGGCUAACUUCGUG
Molecule: ribosomal RNA, 434 nt
Filed under: uncultured bacterium
Lineage: Bacteria
Description: partial 16S ribosomal RNA
Rfam family: Bacterial small subunit ribosomal RNA
Source: RNAcentral